ACCUACCCUUGACAUGUCUGGAAUCCUGAAGAGAUUUGGGAGUGCUCGAAAGAGAGCCAGAACACAGGUGCUGCAUGGCCGUCGUCAGCUCGUGUCGUGAGAUGUUGGGUUAAGUCCCGCAACGAGCGCAACCCUUGUCAUUAGUUGCUACGAAAGGGCACUCUAAUGAGACUGCCGGUGACAAACCGGAGGAAGGUGGGGAUGACGUCAGGUCAUCAUGGCCCUUAUGGGUAGGGCUACACACGUCAUACAAUGGCCGGGACAGAGGGCUGCCAACCCGCGAGGGGGGAGCUAAUCCCAGAAACCCGGUCGUAGUCCGGAUCGUAGUCUGCAACUCGACUGCGUGAAGUCGGAAUCGCUAGUAAUCGCGGAUCAGCUUGCCGCGGUGAAUACGUUCCCGGGUCUUGUACACACCGCCCGUCACACCAUGGGAGCGGGUUCUGCCAGAAGUAGUUAGCCUAACCGCAAGGGGGGCGAUUACCACGGCAGGGUUCGUGACUGGGGUGAAGUCGUAACAAGGUAGGCGUAGUGCU
Molecule: ribosomal RNA, 533 nt
Filed under: uncultured bacterium
Lineage: Bacteria
Description: bacterial SSU rRNA
Rfam family: Bacterial small subunit ribosomal RNA
Source: RNAcentral